RNAcentral lists this unclassified non-coding RNA (21 nucleotides) under synthetic construct. The record is from RNAcentral.
CCCCUUCUUCUUCUUCUUCCC